AGUCUCGGUCCAUUUACAACUUAUAUUGAACGUGUUUCUCCUUCUAUGUCUAGAAACGAUAACACUGCUUUAGAUCAACAAUCUAUUAGUGUUCUGCGCAUUGGGCGUUGUUUGCUUAAGAUCUGCCCAUCUUCGAUGGAGACGGUUUUUGAUUUUGUUAAGAAGGGCAAUGAUAAAUUCAGCAUCAAUUUUCCUACGUAUCAUCAAGCUAAUGAGUUUAUCUCUUUAGUUUACAAGAACCGUUUCUCUGUAAGAUCGGAUGAAUGUUGGGUUGCUUAUGUGCCUUCCUUCAAAAUUUUUAAGAAGGUCAUUCUUAGAGGGUUGGAUGAUUCUGAUCUGGAACCUGACUUUAUAGCUAAGCAUCUACGUCCAGCUCCUGAUCAUUUUGAAGGUCAGAAGGUGCACCCGCUGUCAGCGCUUUGGGCAUAUUAAAAGGCUUUGUAAAACGUCUGAGGACAAAUGUAUUUGUGAGUUUUGCAGCUUACGAGGUCAUUCACAGGAGCAUUGUUCUGAGCCAAUCCCGGGGAACAAGGGCGUAUCUUGAUCGUCAUGGGCCUCUGGACUCUUCAAUCUCUGAUAAACCGCCCGCUUCUACCUUAGCGGACUUUGUUCCUCAUCAGUUCCUUUAUUCGGAGGUGGUCCGUAAUGGGUGUGAUGCUCGAGUGGAGGCGAUGUGUGCCCCUGUCAGUUGCAACGUUGAGCGUUUGCCGCUUAGUCGGUCUAUGCGCCAACGGACUGCGACCCCGCAGUCAGCGCAGUCUGCCCGCUGAGUUAACCUCUCAAGCCAAACAUUUUAUAUCUGAUAAUUCUCGUUCCUCUAAUGCUAAACCAUCUAAAAUUCUUUUGUCUGAUUCGUUACAGAAAAGACUACUCAUGACUCCUAAAGGAACUACUGUCGCUGGGACUGGCGUUCCAUCUAAAAUCGCAUCUUUCUUCUCUGGAGGAUUCUUGACUCGGCAACAAAGAUCGUCCCCUACUGAGAGGGAGUAUAUUAGGGAGUAGGCGUCCGUUGCAUGCAGUGCACUCUGCACGCCUUAUCAUGGAACUAUCUCUCCUGGGAGCGCCACUCAAUGAUAUUGACGACAUUAUUUUCUCUGACGACACCGCGACAUUAAGAACUAUUCAUAAUUCUCUAAUUAAGGCAAAGUUAUUUUUAUAAAAUUAAAAAAGAUAUAUAUUUCGUGUAACUCCUGGUUAUCUUGUCAACUAAAAACUGACUAAUGGAAUAUAUAUGAUUCCCGGUCAUUUCAACAAGAAGAAGAAGAAGAGGAGGAAUCGAGGU
Molecule: RNA transcript, 1282 nt
Organism: Odontomachus brunneus
Lineage: Eukaryota; Metazoa; Arthropoda; Insecta; Hymenoptera; Formicidae
Exons: 3
Source: RefSeq, a predicted model, not a curated record